GACAGAGGCCCCGAGCGUUAGGCGGAAUCACUGGGCUUAAAGCGUGUGUAGGCGGACCGGUAAGUACCUUGUGAAAUCCCACGGCUCACCCGUGGAACUGCCGGGUAUACUGCCGGUCUCGGGCCAACUAGGGGCAACUGGAACAAGCGGUGGAGCGGUGAAAUGCGUAGAUAUCGCUUGGAACGCCGAAGGUGAAAACAGGUUGCUGGGGUUGUGCCGACGCUGAGACACGAAAGCCAGGGGAGCGAACGGG
RNAcentral lists this ribosomal RNA (253 nucleotides) under uncultured bacterium. RNAcentral describes it as "partial 16S ribosomal RNA". It matches the Rfam family "Bacterial small subunit ribosomal RNA", at positions 524 to 776 of the family's 1533-position model. The record is from RNAcentral.